Molecule: long non-coding RNA, 219 nt
Filed under: Elaeis guineensis (African oil palm)
Lineage: Eukaryota; Viridiplantae; Streptophyta; Magnoliopsida; Arecales; Arecaceae
Description: long non-coding RNA (EGUI_LNC044235)
Source: RNAcentral
UAUUAACCAAGAUGUGUGGUGACACGGGUAUGGCAUACGGAUGAUAUGUAGGAGUAUAGUUUACUGAGCGUGAUCACUUUUGGAGCACUCUACUGUCAAGAGUUGCUUUGAUGAGAUAUGGAUAUAUGUGUCCCUCAGACCUGAGGCUGUCUCGAUGACUUGCAAGCAACUCACUGUGCUUUGGUGCUGGAUUAUCUGAAUUUUUAAUUUGGUGAUGGA